AUGGGGACCCAGACCUCGGAGGCGGGGAAGGAGAUGAGGGAGUGGUGCGUCGCCCUCCCCAAGGUGGAGCUCCACGCCCACCUCAACGGCUCCGUCCGCAACUCCACCCUCCUAGAACUAGCAAAAGAACUAGGUGACAAAGGAGUCAUUGUCUUUGAAGAUGUUAAGGAUGUGAUCAAGAAGAGUCUUAAGUCUGUCAAAGACGUUGAUGUUGUUCUAAACGAUGAAAAAUUAAGUUGUACACCAAUGAGUGAUUUGGGUGGCAACGCAAAGAGAAAGAAGAUAUAUGUUAGGCUCCUUCUGAGUAUUGACCGUCAUGAGACAACUUCUGCUGCAUUGGAUACUGUUAAUUUAGCCAUGGAAAUGAAGGACCAGGGUGUAAUUGGCAUUGAUCUCUCUGGCAAUCCAGUUGUAGGGGAAUGGGAGACAUACCUGCCUGCUCUAGAACAUGCUAAAGAGCUGGGAAUCCCCACCACAAUUCACUGUGGUGAGGUACCAAACAGGAAGGAGAUCCAAGCAAUGCUGGACUUCUGCCCUCAAAGGCUGGGUGAUGUCUGCUGCCUGGACGACGAAGAGUGGAAGAAGCUCAAGUCAUCAGUGAUCCCGGUGGAGAUAUGUUUAACCUCCAAUGUUAUGACCGGAGGCACCCCUUCUCUUGAGCUUCAUCACUUUGCUGACCUCUACAACGCGAAACACCCCCUGUCGAUAUGCACCGACGAUUUUGGCCUCUUUUCGACGAGCCUCUUGUUGAGUAAAUAG
RNAcentral lists this ribosomal RNA (759 nucleotides) under Triticum aestivum (bread wheat). Its description in RNAcentral is "partial small subunit ribosomal RNA". Lineage: Eukaryota; Viridiplantae; Streptophyta; Magnoliopsida; Poales; Poaceae. The record is from RNAcentral.